AGUGGUAAAAUUAGCCUUCCAAGCUAACG
This 29-nucleotide transfer RNA is filed under the name Radula koponenii. RNAcentral's name for it is "partial tRNA-Gly". The record is from RNAcentral. Lineage: Eukaryota; Viridiplantae; Streptophyta; Jungermanniopsida; Radulales; Radulaceae.